RNAcentral lists this ribosomal RNA (482 nucleotides) under uncultured bacterium. RNAcentral describes it as "partial 16S ribosomal RNA". It matches the Rfam family "Bacterial small subunit ribosomal RNA", at positions 30 to 507 of the family's 1533-position model. The record is from RNAcentral.
AUUGAACGCUGGCGGCAUGCUUUACACAUGCCAGUCGAACGGUAACAGGCCGCAAGGUGCUGACGAGUGGCGAACGGGUGAGUAAUGCAUCGGAACGUGCCCAGUCGUGGGGGAUAACUACUCGAAAGAGUAGCUAAUACCGCAUACGAUCUAUGGAUGAAAGCGGGGGACCGUAAGGCCUCGCGCGAUUGGAGCGGCCGAUGUCAGAUUAGGUAGUUGGUGGGGUAAAGGCUCACCAAGCCAACGAUCUGUAGCUGGUCUGAGAGGACGACCAGCCACACUGGAACUGAGACACGGCCCAGACUCCUACGGGAGGCAGCAGUGGGGAAUUUUGGACAAUGGGCGCAAGCCUGAUCCAGCAAUGCCGCGUGCAGGAAGAAGGCCUUCGGGUUGUAAACUGCUUUUGUACGGAAAGAAACGGCUCUGGUUAAUACCCGGGGCUAAUGACGGUACCGUAAGAAUAAGCACCGGCUAACUACGUG